Molecule: ribosomal RNA, 363 nt
Filed under: uncultured bacterium
Lineage: Bacteria
Description: bacterial SSU rRNA
Rfam family: Bacterial small subunit ribosomal RNA
Source: RNAcentral
AGCGAACGCUGGCGGCAUGCUUAACACAUGCAAGUCGCACGGGCAGGGGCAACCCUGUCAGUGGCGGACGGGUGAGUAACGCGUAGGUAUCUAUCCUUGGGUGGGGGACAACCGUGGGAAACUACGGCUAAUACCGCAUGAUGACCGAGGUCCAAAGCUCGCGAGAGCGCCUGGGGAGGAGCCUGCGUACGAUUAGCUAGUUGGUAAGGUAAUGGCUUACCAAGGCGACGAUCAGUAGCUGGUUCGAGAGGAUGACCAGCCACACUGGGACUGAGAUACGGCCCAGACUCCUACGGGAGGCAGCAGUAAGGAAUCUUCCACAAUGGGCGAAAGCCUGAUGGAGCAAUGCCGCGUGCAGGAUGA